RNA transcript from Mus musculus (house mouse), 1972 nucleotides. It is a transcript of the gene named MAP/microtubule affinity-regulating kinase 1, pseudogene 2, with no coding region annotated. Lineage: Eukaryota; Metazoa; Chordata; Mammalia; Rodentia; Muridae. The transcript is spliced from 5 exons. The record is from RefSeq and is marked validated.
AGAGAGGCAGUUGGUUGGUGGGAGGGCAGUUAGACUCAGUUGCUUCCCACAGACUUGAGCUUUUUCACAACUUGUUGGAUCUCGAUAUAAAAGGAUCAGUCCUUCCGGAGAUAGUGACCAAACAUGGCAGACUAGACAGGGUUUCUCUGUGUAGCCCUGGCUGUCCCGGAAUUCACCAUGUAGACCAGGCUGGUGUUGAACUCAGAAAUCCUCUUGUCUCUGUCUCCCAAGUGCUGGGAUUAAUGCCUCAUAUAUUCCUGGUUCUAUAUGAGAGUAGGUGGUUGAACUUGAGCAAACAUCAUGGACAGCCACAUGGAAGAGAACAUCCUUGAAAAGGAUUUCAGGAUGUUGUUAUCUCUGGGUUGUGGUUCAUUCGGGGAGGUAAAGCUUGCCUGCCACCUUCCCACACGUAUACGGGUGGCUGUCAAGGUCCUUGAGAAAAACAUCAACAGCAUGGCUGACAUCACUUCGAAGGUGGAACUCCUUCAAUCUUUAGAACACAGGAACAUUGUUCGAUUUUUUCACAUGAUUGACACACUGACAACAACUUAUGUGAUCAUGGAGUAUGUGCCAGGAGAGGACCUUGAGAAGUACCUCAGGGCACUGGGCUGUCUAAAAGAGGAAGAGGCUAGACCUGUUUUCCAGCAGGUCGUGUCAGCAGUGUACUUCCUCCAACAAAGACACAUUGCACAUCGCAAUAUUAAAUUAGAAAACAUUCUGGUCGAUGCAGCAAGAAAUGCAAAGCUUUCAGACUUUGGCAUGGCAAUUAAAACCACAGAAGGGCAGAUGUUGGAGGAGACCUGUGACUCCUUACUCUAUAGGGCCCCAGAGAUCUUGGCAAGGAAACCCUAUGAUGGGCUGGCAGUUGACAUGUGGAGCUUGGGCAUCGUCCUCUAUGUUCUGGUCACAGGGCACUUUCCAUAUGUAGAAGCCACCAUUGAGUAUAUGCACAGGAUCAUCACUACUACAAUGUGUCAUUCCAUUCCUAAACACCUGUCAAUUCCGUGUCACAUUAUCAUUGCACGGUUACUCAUGGUCCCUACCUGGUACAGGAUGACAAUACAUCAGCUUGUGGAACAACCGUGGCUGGGCCACAUUCAAGAUCAUGGACUGGUAUCCACAAAAGAAAUCCUUCCCAGGAUCGUGAACACAAUGUGCACCAUUGGCUAUUCCUGUGAAGAGAUUGUGUCAUCCUUAACACAUAGGCGACUCAAAGAUGAAGUAAUGGCAACAUUUAAUAUUUUAAAAUACCAACUGAGCUAUGAGGACAGCCAUCAGCAGGUGGAGAAGCUCUGGGCAAAUAGCAGCCCUUCAGGUACCCUUAUCCCCCUUCCCCACUUGAAGAGGAGAGCCAGUGAACCUACCUUUUCAACCUGUAUAGAAGCUAGGAAGAGUCACUUUCAGGAUGAGAGUGUGGAAAGAAGAAGCAAGAGUUCCAGAAGUUACCCCACACUCACCAAAAGCUCCUGCACAGAGAUGAUGCCCAAUUCAGAUGACCCAGUGCCAGAAAGUGAUGCUCUGACAGCUGAUGUCACUAACAGUGCUACCGGGGAUAUUGUAGUCAACAGAGAUUCCACAGACAGCAUGCUUGGUGAGCAGGUCUCUUCAGUAUCAGCCCCUAUUGGCCCCACAGCUUCUAGAUCUAGGUCACCCACAGUUUGGAAGCAAAAUUCUCGUGCUCUGAAAGCACCAUGCUGCUGCUGCUGUUGCUGCUGUCUGCCCUCCCCAUGACUUCCAAGGACAUGAGUUAUGUGCUGAGCCUGGCCUGACACCCAAGGCUGUCAAGGAGGAUCCACAUUCUGGAGAUAAGACACAGAGUGCCCGCCACCUGGAGCCUGACUUUGGCCUUCAUAUCCCCAGAUGCCCACUUCUUUGUUCUUUGUUAAUUCCCCCUCAACCCCUCCCUAUUCCCCUCAAGGUAUGCUUAAAACCCAGCGUUUCAGCCUAAUAAACUGAGACCUUGAUAGGAACA